This 605-nucleotide long non-coding RNA is filed under the name Panax ginseng (ginseng). Its description in RNAcentral is "long non-coding RNA (PGIN_LNC008990)". The record is from RNAcentral. Lineage: Eukaryota; Viridiplantae; Streptophyta; Magnoliopsida; Apiales; Araliaceae.
UCCAUAAAUCCAAUCACACAAGUGAAACAUGCCAUUAUUACCCUCUCAUGGGAUUUCUACAAUAUAAACAAACAAAAGCAAACAUGAUUUACCUCCAGCAAACAUGAUUUACUAUGACUAAUUUUCGGAUAACUAAGAGAUAUUAGGUAAAACAGAAAAAUGAAUCACACUUUGCUGCUGCUUGAGGAUCUUUAAUGGACUUCAUCAUAUCAACUGUCUCUUGGUUGUUCAUCACCUGCACACCAGAGAAAUGCAAUUGGAUAAGCUAAUUGACCAAUCAACUCGAGAAAACGUUAAAAGGAUAGAACAUAAAAGGAGGUUUCUAUGAGAAGGAAGACACAACAGAAUGAAUCAUGAGUUAUGAGCAAAUACCACCUAUCAAGUAAAAUGAACAGAAAAAUGAUAGAUAUGGGCUUUGACAUAGCAAGUGAAAUAGUGGACUACUCGAUUCAAAGAUGAUUCAAUUUAAAAUUUCACAUAAAAAAGUGAAAAAAUACUAGAAAAACAAAGAAAACCAACAUCUUACACAAUUUAGCUAUUGUUGAACAUGAUAAAUAACAUAUUAGUGGAAUUUAGAGAUGCUUACAAAGGGAUUAGCAUAGUAC